Molecule: transfer RNA, 88 nt
Filed under: Caudoviricetes sp.
Lineage: Duplodnaviria; Heunggongvirae; Uroviricota; Caudoviricetes
Description: tRNA-Ser
Rfam family: tRNA
About the family: Transfer RNA (tRNA) molecules are approximately 80 nucleotides in length.
Source: RNAcentral
GGAUAGUUACCCAAGAGGAUAAGGGGACUGGUUGCUACCUAGUUAGGCGCUACGGCGUGCGUUGGUUCGAAUCCAACACUAUCCGCCA